CUGCGAUGGCUUACCAUGCAAGUCGAGGGGCAGCAUGGUCUUAGCUUGCUAAGGCUGAUGGCGACCGGCGUAAGGGUGCGUAACGCGUAUGUAACUUGCCUUUGAGAGGGGGAUAACCCGGAGAAAUCCGGCCUAAUACCGCGUAUUCUCAAGUUGCUGCAUGGCAGUUUGAGGAAAGAUUUAUUGCUCAGAGAUAGGCAUGCGUUCCAUUAGGUAGUUGGUGAGGUAACGGCUCACCAAGCCGACGAUGGAUAGGGGAGCUGAGAGGCUGACCCCCCACACUGGGACUGAGACACGGCCCAGACUCCUACGGGAGGCAGCAGUGAGGAAUAUUGGUCAAUGGAGGCAACUCUGAACCAGCCAAGUCGCGUGAAGGAAGACUGUCCUAUGGAUUGUAAACUUCUUUAGUAGGUGAAUAGAGUCGGGCACGUGUGCCCGUAGGCAUGUAACCUAAGAAUAAGUAUCGGCUAACUCCGUGCCAGCAGCCGCGGUAAU
RNAcentral lists this ribosomal RNA (495 nucleotides) under uncultured bacterium. RNAcentral's name for it is "bacterial SSU rRNA". It matches the Rfam family "Bacterial small subunit ribosomal RNA", at positions 39 to 524 of the family's 1533-position model. The record is from RNAcentral.